This is a non-coding RNA of Endozoicomonas numazuensis, 97 nucleotides long. It matches the Rfam family "Bacterial small signal recognition particle RNA". From Rfam's summary of the family: The signal recognition particle (SRP) is a universally conserved ribonucleoprotein involved in the co-translational targeting of proteins to membranes. Archaeal SRP consists of a 7S RNA and homologues of the eukaryotic SRP19 and SRP54 proteins. In most bacteria, the SRP consists of a 4.5S RNA and the Ffh protein (a homologue of the eukaryotic SRP54 protein). Lineage: Bacteria; Pseudomonadati; Pseudomonadota; Gammaproteobacteria; Oceanospirillales; Endozoicomonadaceae. The record is from Rfam.
UGUCGGUCCCCUCGCAAUGGUCAACUGUGAACUCCGCCAGGCCCGGAAGGGAGCAACGGUAGCAGUGACACCAUGUGCCGGGGUGUGGCUGGCAGGG